Molecule: unclassified non-coding RNA, 304 nt
Filed under: uncultured fungus
Lineage: Eukaryota; Fungi
Description: partial contains small subunit ribosomal RNA, internal transcribed spacer 1, and 5.8S ribosomal RNA
Rfam family: Eukaryotic small subunit ribosomal RNA (bases 1-73)
Source: RNAcentral
UCAAACUUGGUCAUUUAGAGGAAGUAAAAGUCGUAACAAGGUUUCCGUAGGUGAACCUGCGGAAGGAUCAUUACCAAACUUUAGCUGCUCUGGUUCAGGCCAGUAGCACGCUUCAACCCUUUGUGAACCAAAAAACCUUUCGCUUCGGUUAGCAGGUCUGCGCCAUUCCGGCCAGACCGUAAGCCUGCCCGUAGCACCAAACAAAAACUUGUUGUCAAACACAGUCUGAACUAAAUAUUUUCGAAUGAAAAUUAAAACUUUCAACAACGGAUCUCUUGGUUCUCGCAUCGAUGAAGAACGCAGC